GGAGAAGUGGCAGAUAGUAAUGCGUGCGGCUUGAAACCGUUUGAUAGGGGUUUAAUUCCUCUCUUCUCUUAAAUAAAGU
This 79-nucleotide transfer RNA is filed under the name Tripneustes gratilla (Hawaiian sea urchin). RNAcentral describes it as "tRNA-Ser". The stretch from base 1 to 70 matches the Rfam family "tRNA". From Rfam's summary of the family: Transfer RNA (tRNA) molecules are approximately 80 nucleotides in length. Their secondary structure includes four short double-helical elements and three loops (D, anti-codon, and T loops). The record is from RNAcentral. Lineage: Eukaryota; Metazoa; Echinodermata; Echinoidea; Temnopleuroida; Toxopneustidae.